Molecule: non-coding RNA, 74 nt
Organism: Nicotiana sylvestris (wood tobacco)
Lineage: Eukaryota; Viridiplantae; Streptophyta; Magnoliopsida; Solanales; Solanaceae
Source: Rfam
ACUAUUAUGCGGUAUAGUGGUGAGUAUUCCCGCCUGUCACGCGGGUGACCCGGGUUCGGUCCCCGACAACAGUG